Molecule: microRNA, 17 nt
Filed under: Corchorus olitorius
Lineage: Eukaryota; Viridiplantae; Streptophyta; Magnoliopsida; Malvales; Malvaceae
Description: hsa-miR-30
Source: RNAcentral
GAAUUGCUUCAAUGUUU